UACGUAGGGACCAAGCGUUGUUCGGGUUUACUGGGCGUAAAGGGCGCGUAGGCGGCGCGGUAAGUCACUUGUGAAAUCUCUGAGCUUAACUCAGAACGGCCAAGUGAUACUGCAGUGCUAGAGUGUGGAAGGGGCAAUCGGAAUUCUUGGUGUAGCGGUGAAAUGCGUAGAUAUCAAGAGGAACACCUGAGGUGAAGACGGGUUGCUGGGCCAACACUGACGCUGAGGCGCGAAAGCCAGGGGAGCAAACGGG
Molecule: ribosomal RNA, 253 nt
Filed under: uncultured bacterium
Lineage: Bacteria
Description: partial 16S ribosomal RNA
Rfam family: Bacterial small subunit ribosomal RNA
Source: RNAcentral